UGGGGAAUAUUGGACAAUGGGCGAAAGCCUGAUCCAGCCAUGCCGCGUGUGUGAAGAAGGUCUUCGGAUUGUAAAGCACUUUAAGUUGGGAGGAAGGGCAGUAAGCGAAUACCUUGCUGUUUUGACGUUACCGACAGAAUAAGCACCGGCUAACUCUGUGCCAGCAGCCGCGGUAAUACAGAGGGUGCAAGCGUUAAUCGGAAUUACUGGGCGUAAAGCGCGCGUAGGUGGUUCGUUAAGUUGAAUGUGAAAGCCCCGGGCUCAACCUGGGAACUGGAUCCAAAACUGGCGAGCGAGAGUAGGGCAGAGGGUGGUGGAAUUUCCUGUGUAGCGGUGAAAUGCGUAGAUAUAGGAAGGAACACCAGUGGCGAAGGCGACCACCUGGGCUCAUACUGACACUGAGGUGCGAAAGCGUGGGGAGCAAACAGG
Molecule: ribosomal RNA, 429 nt
Filed under: Pseudomonadota bacterium
Lineage: Bacteria; Pseudomonadati; Pseudomonadota
Description: Proteobacteria bacterium partial 16S ribosomal RNA
Rfam family: Bacterial small subunit ribosomal RNA
Source: RNAcentral